GACGGUGGCGGCGAUGCCGUAACCCGUCACGCUUUCGAAGUUUUCGAUGGUCGCAGGUUCGAGUCCUGCAGGGGUCCCCA
This 80-nucleotide transfer RNA is filed under the name Agrobacterium tumefaciens. Its description in RNAcentral is "tRNA-Arg". The record is from RNAcentral. Lineage: Bacteria; Pseudomonadati; Pseudomonadota; Alphaproteobacteria; Hyphomicrobiales; Rhizobiaceae.